RNAcentral lists this ribosomal RNA (1243 nucleotides) under metagenome. Its description in RNAcentral is "bacterial LSU rRNA". It matches the Rfam family "Bacterial large subunit ribosomal RNA", at positions 1564 to 2818 of the family's 2925-position model. The record is from RNAcentral.
UGAAUACGAGACGCUAAGGCGUCGAAGUAGUGUAUGUCAUACUUCCAAGAAAAGCUUGCACUGUCAUAGAUAAAAAACGCCUGUACCAUAACCGACACAGGUGGGUAGGUAGAGUAUACUAAGGGGCGCGAGAUAACUCUCUCUAAGGAACUCGGCAAAAUAACUCCGUAACUUCGGGAGAAGGAGUGCCUUAUUCGUAAGGUUGCAAUAACAAGAUCCAAGCAACUGUUUAUCAAAAACACAGGUCUCCGCUAAGUCGUAAGACGAUGUAUGGGGGCUGACGCCUGCCCAGUGCCAGAAGGUUAAAGAAGUUGGUUAGCAAUUGCGAAGCUGAUAACUGAAGCCCUGGUGAACGGCGGCCGUAACGAUAACGGUCCUAAGGUAGCGAAAUUCCUUGUCGGGUAAGUUCCGACCCGCACGAAAGGCGUAAUGAUUUGGAUACUGUCUCGGAGAGGGGCUCGGUGAAAUAGACUUGUCUGUGAAGAUGCGGACUACCUGCACCAGGACAGAAAGACCCUAUGAAGCUUUACUGUAACUUGAAAUUGAAAUUGGACUUUAUUCGCGCAGUAUAGGGGAGGCGUUGAUUAUAAUCUUGUGGGAUUAUUGGAGCCAUCAGUGAGAUACCACUCUUGUAAUGUUAGAUUUCUAACUUUGAAUCAUUAUCUGGUCAAAGAACAGUUUCAGGCGGGCAGUUUGACUGGGGCGGUCGCCUCCUAAACGGUAACGGAGGCGUACAAAGGUUUCCUCUGAACGGUUAGAAAUCGUAUCUAGAGUGUAAAGGCAUAAGGAAGCUUGACUGUGAGACCUACAAGUCGAGCAGGGACGAAAGUCGGUCUUAGUGAUCUGACGGUACUGAGUGGAAAGGCCGUCACUCAACGGAUAAAAGUUACUCUAAGGAUAACAGGCUGAUCUCCCCCAAGAGUUCACAUCGACGGGGAGGUUUGGCACCUCGAUGUCGGCUCAUCGCAUCCUGGGGCGGUAGCACGUCCCAAGGGUUGGGCUGUUCGCCCAUGAAAGCGGUACGCGAGCUGGGUUCAGAACGUCGUGAGACAGUUCGGUCCAUAUCCGGUGUAGGCGUUAGAAUAUUGAGAGGAGCCUUCUUUAGUACGAGAGGACCGAGAAGGACAUACCUCUGGUGUACCAGUUAUCGUGCCAACGGUAAACGCUGGGUAGCUAUGUAUGGAGUGGAUAACCGCUGAAAGCAUCUAAGUGGGAAGCCCACCUCAAGAUAAGUAUUCUCAUC